GUGUAGGCUGGCCCAGAACAAUGGGGAAAGGAAGAGGAGGGCUGGAACAAAGGGAACUGGCUGGCCUGGAGCAAGAUAUGUACAUAUUCAAGGAGCCUCGGGGUAACAGCUGUCCUGAAGUUGGGAGAGUGGGUUGGAGUGGAGAAUGGAGGAGGAGUAGAGUCUGCAGAGCCGUGAAUGCCAGAUUCACCUAGAACUUUUCCCUUAAGUGUGUGUUUUGUUUUGAGGGCAGGGCACUUAAUGAAAAGAAGAGUAGACUGAGAGCCUUGUGCAGAAGGAACCAGACGUGGAGAGGAAAGGAUGAAAAGAAUACUUAGAAAGGGGCUCUAGUACUGGGCUCAGUCAUUCGACUCCAUUUAGGGGGUGCUUGCUCUGUGUCCUGAGAUAGAAGAGAGCAGCUCUUCCCUGAAGGAGCUCACAGUCUAGUGAUAGGAGACAGAAUAUUCUCAUGCAGUGCCGUGAACACUACCGUAGAAGAGUUAGGAAUUCCCAGCCUGGGCCAUCCGGGAAGGCUUCCCAGAGGAAGAGACACCAGAAGGACUAAUUUGCAGGACUAAAUAGAGUUAGCUAGGUGCAGAAGUCGGGGAAGAGCAAUCCAGACAGAGGAUCAGCAGGCGCUCAGGCACUGAAGCAAGAGAGAGCAAGAGGCAUUGCAGGAACUGCAAGCAGAUUGAUUGGCUCAGGUGAAGGUGGGACAUGAGCAAGCGACCAGAGAGCGAAUCCAAGAUGUGCAAAGAGAAUUUUUUAAAAGCAGCUGGUAUUACUAUAAUUUGUCAGCAAACGGAUUAUGGAAAGUCUUUCAUUCAAUCAAGACGGUGAAGGCAAAGGCCUUAGUCCCUGCUGAUCAAAAUAAUAGCAUCAGUCAAUAGUAAUUUAUAUGAUGAUCCAGAUGCCGCUUCUUCCCCAGGAGGAGCAGGUAAGCAGCUCCUCUCUACAGGACCCACACGAUCUUCCGAGCUGAACUCCAAGGUCAGAUCCUAUCUGUGGCCUGCAGACGUCAUAACACUUCUCCCCCAGCCCCGUCCAGUACUUCAGCCUGCAUCUUCUAAGAAAAGGGAUACUCUUCAACUUAACCACAAUACUACUUCCCCCACAAGGACAUUAACAUUUAUUUAAUAAUUCUCAUCUAACAUAUAGUCUAUAUUUAAAUUUUCCCAAUUGUCCCCAAAAUAUCAUUUGUACUUUUUUCCUGAUCUGGAAUCCAAUGAAAGUUUACAUAUUACAUAUGAGUACUCUGAUUUAUUCUUAGAUGCAAAAUGAGUUUAAGCAAAUUGUUUAUGCCCAUGAUCAAGAAUCUUUUUGUGAACACCCUGACUUUUUUUGAGGAAGAUUAGCCCUGAGCUAACACCAGUGCCCGUCUUCCUCUACUUUAUAUGUGGGAUGCCUGCCACAGCAUGGCUUGACACAUGGUGCCAUGUCUGCACCCGGGAUCCAAACCGGUGAACCUAGGGCCGCUGAAGCGGAACGUGUGGACUUAACUGCUGCGCCACCGGGCUGGCCCCAGCCCUGACUAUUUUUGAGAUAGGAAGUCGGGUUUGGAAACAAAAGCAUUGUUAUAUUACAGUGGAAAGAAAACCGGGCGAAGCAUUCAGCAUUCUGGAUUCCAGGUCUUGUCCUAUCACUAAUCAUCUGCCCAAAGUCAGUGAGGACGUUUGUGAUCCAGGAGGACGACGACCUCUGCUCUCCGUCGGGCCGGGACUGCAGCCUGUGCAGAACUGUUUAUACCGGCACUUUGUGCCAAUGAUACACUGCUAAGGGUGCAUAUCAAUCAGGUAUUCCUUAGCCGGUCUUGUUGAUGGAUUGAUCCGGCUAUGCUGUUCGAAUCCAGGGGGGUGUUUACAAUCCAGACACACAAAGUCAAGGGAUUUGUCCUGUGUCUGUUCCUUGCAUGCAUGGAUUUAUUCAGCAUUACCCAGCCCACCUUAGGCCUAGAGGGGCCUGCACCAAGGAACGUGAGGUGACCCUCCCAGUGCACCCCAUCCUGGGCUUGUCAACUGUCAGGGGUCCUUCAGCCGGGGAGCGGGGAGCGCAG
This 2032-nucleotide long non-coding RNA is filed under the name Equus caballus (horse). RNAcentral describes it as "lncRNA (ENSECAG00000056941.1)". Lineage: Eukaryota; Metazoa; Chordata; Mammalia; Perissodactyla; Equidae. The record is from RNAcentral.